AGAGACGCUGGCGGCGUGGAUUAGGCAUGCAAGUCGAACGGUAGGAUACCUUCGGGUAUCUGAGAGUGGCGAACGGGUGAGUAACACGUAGGUGAUCUACCCUCAAGAUUGGGACAACCCAGGGAAACUUGGGCUAAUACCGGAUGAAAGCAGCAGUGAUGUUGUUUGAAAGGUGGCGUAAGCUGCCGUUUGGGGAUGAGCCUGCGCUCUAUUAGUUAGUUGGCGGGGUAAAGGCCCACCAAGGCGAUGAUAGAUAGGCGGCCUUAACGGGUGGUCGCCCACUACUGGGAUUGAGAUACGGCCCAGACUCCUACGGGAGGCAGCAGUCGAGAAUAGUCUACAAUGGCCGAAAGGCUGAUAGUGCGACGCCGCGUGAACGAAGAAGCCCUUCGGGGUGUAAAGUUCUUUUAUAUGUGAGCAGUGCUUUCUAUGUGAACAGCAUGGGGAGAGAGAUAUUAGCAUAUGAAUAAGCAACGGCUAACUCCGUG
This 488-nucleotide ribosomal RNA is filed under the name uncultured bacterium. RNAcentral describes it as "bacterial SSU rRNA". It matches the Rfam family "Bacterial small subunit ribosomal RNA", at positions 33 to 507 of the family's 1533-position model. The record is from RNAcentral.